AGUGAACGCUGGCGGUAGGCCUAACACAUGCAAGUCGAACGGCAGCACAGUAAGAGCUUGCUCUUACGGGUGGCGAGUGGCGGACGGGUGAGGAAUACAUCGGAAUCUACUUUUUCGUGGGGGAUAACGUAGGGAAACUUACGCUAAUACCGCAUACGACCUACGGGUGAAAGCAGGGGAUCUUCGGACCUUGCGCGAUUGAAUGAGCCGAUGUCGGAUUAGCUAGUUGGCGGGGUAAAGGCCCACCAAGGCGACGAUCCGUAGCUGGUCUGAGAGGAUGAUCAGCCACACUGGAGGUGAGACAGGGUCCAGACGCCUACGGGAGGCAGCAGUGGGGAAUAUUGGACAAUGGGCGCAAGCCUGAUCCAGCCAUACCGCGUGGGUGAAGAAGGCCUCCGGGUUGUAAAGACCUUUUGUUGGGAAAGAAAAGCAGCAGGUUAAGACCCCGCUGUUCUGACGGUACCCAAAGAAGAAGCACCGGCUAACUUCGUG
This 492-nucleotide ribosomal RNA is filed under the name uncultured bacterium. Its description in RNAcentral is "partial 16S ribosomal RNA". It matches the Rfam family "Bacterial small subunit ribosomal RNA", at positions 29 to 507 of the family's 1533-position model. The record is from RNAcentral.